Molecule: non-coding RNA, 91 nt
Organism: Gloeopeniophorella convolvens
Lineage: Eukaryota; Fungi; Basidiomycota; Agaricomycetes; Russulales
Source: the annotation of a GenBank genome assembly
GCCUGCUUAGCUCAGUGGUAGAGCGCGUCACUUGUAAGCGCAUCCUUGCGAUUGCAUGACGAGGUCAGUCGUUCAAACCGGCUAGUUGGCA